AGGGAGAUGAAAAUAUUUUGUUUGUUCAACUGUGGCUGCUGAAUAGGGUUAGGAAGACUUCUAUUGACCCAACUGGGAAGAAGAUCCCAAGACUUAUAACCGUCUAACUUUGGUCACUGAUGAAUAUAUUGAACAGGACUGGACCCCACACAGAUCCCUUGGGAACACCACUAGUGAGAGGCCUCCAUCCAGACUCUGCUUCAUUGAUCACAACCUUCUGAGUUCUGUUGUUGAGCCAGUUCUCCAUCCACCUCAUUGUCCACUCAUCCAACCCACACUUCCUUAUCUUGCCUGUAAGGGUGCUAUGGGAGACAGCGUCGAAUGCCCUACUGAAGUCAAGAGAGACAACAUUCUCUGCUCUCCCUUCAUUGACCCAGCCAGUCACACAAUCACGCGUUUGUUUAUGUGACAAGCUUCAGAUGUAAAUGACCUCAUUGAUCUAACAGUCACUAUAAAAAACCCUGUCUCUGAGGUCAAGAGGACACUUCCAUGUUGAUGGACAGUGGAUUUCUUCUGAUUAGAAAGUUCCCAAAAGUCCUGAAAUGCUAUCAUCAUCAUCAUCACCAAGAUAACAAUAAACAUUUGUUGGAGACCAGAAUUACUUCAAGAGGCUUAAUUUUGCAAUAAUAAUAUGUGUCCACGUUUCGAGAAAUUAAGUGUGAAGACCAGCCCACAGAAUUGUUGAUCUCAUGAAUUUACAAUACUAAUUCAGUGCAUGCACAAAUCAAAUGUUAAAAAAUAUCAGCAGUUUUAUUCUGUUAUUUUUCUAUGGCAUGAUUUGCAUGAUGAAGAAUAGAUUUUAGAGGCUUGUUGGGAGCUGCUAACAAAAGGUGUAGCUGAAAAACUGUAUCUAGUUUGUAAAAUAAAAUACUUUUCCACAAGUAAUCUGUGAGGAAGCUUUCUCUUUAUCUUCCUUGCACAGAUAUUAAAAACACAGUAGAGUACUUUAUAAGCUUGAUGCUCAUUUACUCCAUACUGUGUAUUUUUCUUUUUAAAAUUUUAGACUGAAAGUAUGGGCAUUCUGAUUCAUUCAGGGUUGGUAUCAUAGGUCUUCAAAUGGCCUGUGGGGAAAGAGAACUUGCCAUGGUUUUGGUGCAUUUCUUCUUUCAGCUCAAAGAUGUUAUAAUUAUAGGGACAAAUAUAUUCACUUGAUGAUUUUUUAUAGUGUAUAUGCUACACAUAAUUUGAGUGAGUUGACAUUGCCAUGAAGGAAGUUUCUUGCAACAGAGUAUCACUGUAUAGAAAAGUGGAACUUGUAACUGCUACUAUUGUGCAAUAGCAACAAAAAUAUGCUCUAAAAAUAUGCUCUGUGAAAUAGCAUUGGAAGUGUGAGUGGUCUGUUUUAUUACAAAAUGCCUUAAAAAUAUUAAAUGGUUUAUACUAACUUUGUAGAUUUUAAGAACAUUCCUUUUUUUUAUUUUGCCUGCUGAAGUUAUUUACUCCCUACAUUUAUAUUAUCAAUUAAUAAAGCAAAUA
Phalacrocorax carbo (great cormorant) is the source of this 1476-nucleotide non-coding RNA. The record is from RefSeq and is a predicted model, not a curated record. Lineage: Eukaryota; Metazoa; Chordata; Aves; Suliformes; Phalacrocoracidae.